RNAcentral lists this ribosomal RNA (500 nucleotides) under uncultured bacterium. RNAcentral's name for it is "partial 16S ribosomal RNA". It matches the Rfam family "Bacterial small subunit ribosomal RNA", at positions 30 to 523 of the family's 1533-position model. The record is from RNAcentral.
AUUGAACGCUGGCGGCAUGCCUUACACAUGCAAGUCGAACGGCAGCACGGGAGCAAUCCUGGUGGCGAGUGGCGAACGGGUGAGUAAUAUAUCGGAACGUGCCCAGUCGUGGGGGAUAACGUAGCGAAAGCUACGCUAAUACCGCAUACGAUCUAUGGAUGAAAGCGGGGGAUCGCAAGACCUCGCGCGAUUGGAGCGGCCGAUAUCAGAGUAGGUAGUUGGUGAGGUAAAGGCUCACCAAGCCGACGAUCUGUAGCUGGUCUGAGAGGACGACCAGCCACACUGGGACUGAGACACGGCCCAGACUCCUACGGGAGGCAGCAGUGGGGAAUUUUGGACAAUGGGCGCAAGCCUGAUCCAGCAAUGCCGCGUGCAGGAUGAAGGCCUUCGGGUUGUAAACUGCUUUUGUACGGAACGAAACGGCGAGCUCUAAUACAGCUUGCUAAUGACGGUACCGUAAGAAUAAGCACCGGCUAGCUACGUGCCAGCCGCCGCAGUAA